RNAcentral lists this unclassified non-coding RNA (274 nucleotides) under Hevea brasiliensis (rubber tree). Lineage: Eukaryota; Viridiplantae; Streptophyta; Magnoliopsida; Malpighiales; Euphorbiaceae. The record is from RNAcentral.
AGAAUAAGGGAAAAUAGGUAGAAGGGAAAUAAAAGAAAAAGGUAAUGUGUUGUUUCCACGAAACAACGACACCUUCUGCUUCAUUUGUAAUGUAUAAUAGCUGGCUAAAUGCAAUACACAAUGUGAAUGUAGGAAAGUGCAUCUGUUAAAUUGUUCACAAAAGAAAUUUAUUCCUACUGCACAUAAGUUGGUCUGAGGAUAUCUUUACUAUAUUUAAAGACAGAAAAAAAAAAUCAUUAGUUUGUUCGAAUUUUUUUUUUAAAUACAAGAACUA